GACGAACGCUGGCGGCGUGCUUAACACAUGCAAGUCGAACGCUGAAGCUUGGUGCUUGCACUGGGUGGAUGAGUGGCGAACGGGUGAGUAAUACGUGAGUAACCUGCCCUUGACUCUGGGAUAAGCCUGGGAAACUGGGUCUAAUACUGGAUACGACAUGCCACUGCAUGGUGGUGUGUGGAAAGGGUUUUACUGGUUUUGGAUGGGCUCACGGCCUAUCAGCUUGUUGGUGGGGUAAUGGCCUACCAAGGCGACGACGGGUAGCCGGCCUGAGAGGGUGACCGGCCACACUGGGACUGAGACACGGCCCAGACUCCUACGGGAGGCAGCAGUGGGGAAUAUUGCACAAUGGGCGGAAGCCUGAUGCAGCGACGCCGCGUGAGGGAUGACGGCCUUCGGGUUGUAAACCUCUUUCAGCACGGAAGAAGCGAGAGUGACGGUAUGUGCAGAAGAAGCGCCGGCUAACUACGUG
This 472-nucleotide ribosomal RNA is filed under the name uncultured bacterium. Its description in RNAcentral is "partial 16S ribosomal RNA". It matches the Rfam family "Bacterial small subunit ribosomal RNA", at positions 28 to 507 of the family's 1533-position model. The record is from RNAcentral.